CAGCCACAUCACAUUGAAACACCAUUUCCUGUAUGAUCACCAGAGUUAAGCAACAUCAAGCUUGGUCAGUACCUAGAUGGGUGACCACUUGGGAAUACCAUGUGCUGUAA
Acanthosepion pharaonis is the source of this 110-nucleotide non-coding RNA. NCBI's taxonomy places the organism in Eukaryota, Metazoa, Mollusca, Cephalopoda, Sepiida, Sepiidae. The record is from the annotation of a GenBank genome assembly.